AUCAACAUGGCCAAGAUCGUUAGCCUCAGUUUUCCCCGUGGGCCAGACACAGAAAAUAACUUUCCCUUUUCCCUGGCAUCUGCAGAUACUGGGGUAAAUGAAGACAUACAGCCCCCAGGUCCAGCGGCCUGCUCAAGCUCAUGUCUGCAAGGGUCCAUGCAGGGGCCUGCCUCUGUAUCAAUAUGCGGUGUGUUCAACAGGUGAGAGGAUCGAGAGGAGAUCUCUGAGGAGCCUUGUGCAUGGAUGCACGAAAGGAAGUCUUUUACCGGCCAACAUGUCCCCUUGUUGAAUAUCAGUUAGUGU
Micropterus dolomieu (smallmouth bass) is the source of this 303-nucleotide long non-coding RNA. RefSeq lists it as uncharacterized. Lineage: Eukaryota; Metazoa; Chordata; Actinopteri; Centrarchiformes; Centrarchidae. The transcript has 3 exons. The record is from RefSeq and is a predicted model, not a curated record.